RNAcentral lists this ribosomal RNA (253 nucleotides) under uncultured bacterium. RNAcentral's name for it is "partial 16S ribosomal RNA". It matches the Rfam family "Bacterial small subunit ribosomal RNA", at positions 524 to 776 of the family's 1533-position model. The record is from RNAcentral.
UACGUAGGGUGCAAGCGUUAAUCGGAAUUACUGGGCGUAAAGCGUGCGCAGGCGGCUAUGCAAGACAGAUGUGAAAUCCCCGGGCUCAACCUGGGAACUGCAUUUGUGACUGCAUCGCUAGAGUACGGCAGAGGGGGAUGGAAUUCCGCGUGUAGCAGUGAAAUGCGUAGAUAUGCGGAGGAACACCGAUGGCGAAGGCAAUCCCCUGGGCCUGUACUGACGCUCAUGCACGAAAGCGUGGGGAGCAAACAGG